RNAcentral lists this ribosomal RNA (479 nucleotides) under Escherichia coli. RNAcentral's name for it is "bacterial SSU rRNA". It matches the Rfam family "Bacterial small subunit ribosomal RNA", at positions 1066 to 1533 of the family's 1533-position model. Lineage: Bacteria; Pseudomonadati; Pseudomonadota; Gammaproteobacteria; Enterobacterales; Enterobacteriaceae. The record is from RNAcentral. RNAcentral also lists the same sequence under 1 other name.
UGUGAAAUGUUGGGUUAAGUCCCGCAACGAGCGCAACCCUUAUCCUUUGUUGCCAGCGGUCCGGCCGGGAACUCAAAGGAGACUGCCAGUGAUAAACUGGAGGAAGGUGGGGAUGACGUCAAGUCAUCAUGGCCCUUACGACCAGGGCUACACACGUGCUACAAUGGCGCAUACAAAGAGAAGCGACCUCGCGAGAGCAAGCGGACCUCAUAAAGUGCGUCGUAGUCCGGAUUGGAGUCUGCAACUCGACUCCAUGAAGUCGGAAUCGCUAGUAAUCGUGGAUCAGAAUGCCACGGUGAAUACGUUCCCGGGCCUUGUACACACCGCCCGUCACACCAUGGGAGUGAGUUGCAAAAGAAGUAGGUAGCUUAACCUUCGGGAGGGCGCUUACCACUUUGUGAUUCAUGACUGGGGUGAAGUCGUAACAAGGUAACCGUAGGGGAACCUGCGGUUGGAUCACCUCCUUACCUUAAAGAAGC